UAGCACAGUGCAUGCCCAGACUCUGGGAGU
Molecule: non-coding RNA, 30 nt
Filed under: Rattus norvegicus (Norway rat)
Lineage: Eukaryota; Metazoa; Chordata; Mammalia; Rodentia; Muridae
Source: RNAcentral